Molecule: long non-coding RNA, 2615 nt
Filed under: Nicotiana benthamiana
Lineage: Eukaryota; Viridiplantae; Streptophyta; Magnoliopsida; Solanales; Solanaceae
Description: long non-coding RNA (NBEN_LNC007377)
Source: RNAcentral
UGUGCAUAAAGUAAAUCCCCUCCCAUUAUUUACUAAAUCCCCAUGAGUUUAUUACAAACUAUUACAGUCCAAUAAAUCAAACUAAAGAUUAAAAGUACAUCAGAAAUUACAGCUGCAUCCAAGGAACUUAAUUCAGACUUAAUGUCUAACAAAAUGAGAUGAACCACUUCUGAGAUCAAGAUUUCCAAAGCCUUCUCUUAUCUAGGUUGUUUCGAAGUUCCAAGGAGUUUCAGGAACUCUAGGCAGUACUUACAUCCCAGAAAUCAUUUAGAACUGAAUUAAAAUGCAGUGUGGAAAGGUCAGCCUUCUAGUAUCUAAGUUCAAAGGGAGCUCAUGAGUCCCAAGGCAAGGCUAAGAAGAGAUGAGAAGAACUUAGAUUCUAGGAACAAGUGCAAGUGAAAUAGAGGGGAUUAGGGAGUGCCAAGGCAGGCUGGUGGUCAUGCCCAACCAUAUGGUAGGCUGGCACACCCCUGACCAGCUUGUCAGCCAAACAAUUAAGAGUAAAGACUUAUUGAAGGUCAGACCAUGGCCUGGGUAGUGAUUAGGACAAUGCCAGACCAAAGUCUUAACUCGGCAUACAUAUAAAGGGAAUAGGGUAUGGGAGUUGAAAGAUCUUAGGACUCAAAGGGCCCAGUUCGUAUCCAUGGACAAUAAUACCAGGUAUUGCCAUGUUUUUGAACCAUAGCUCAACCACACAAAGGGAAUUGGGGUUAGGUAUUCAUAUAAGAACAGAAACAAAGAAGGCGGCAAAGCUUGUAGAAAUUACAGCAUAUAAACAGUAAGCCAACCAAAGAAUGAACUAUAGAAUAAACACAUAGGGGGUGAGGAAAAAGUUAUAAAGAACAUACCAGUUUCAAAAAGAUAAGCAAGGAAAGCGGGAUUAUUGCAAACGAGCCACAGUAAGAAAGGACACUUUAUGUGUGUGAGUGAGUUCAGAGAAAAACUCGAAUGCUUGUGGAAAAUAUUGAAUUCUUAGUGUGUUUUAAGGUAUUCAUUUGAAAGUGUCUAAAAGUGUAGAAGGGCAUCCAGUUUCAUAGCGCAUAAAGACAAAAACAAAAGGUAAAAAAUAACUUUUAAAAUUAGUCUCAUAUGAUCUCCCUUUAGUUAAGGGAUUUGAUUUCAAACAGGAGACUAUAAUUAAGGAAAGAAAACUUGAGUACAAUCCUUCAUAGCUUCAUAAGAAGGGUAAAUACAUAGGGUUAUUUUAGGAAAAGAGUUCAAUGGUACUCGGUUUGUAAAGAAAAGGAAAGGGAAUCAAUCAGAUAACUAAUAAAAAUCAUAGUGACAGGUUUAAUUUGAAUGAACCAAGUCAGGAAUAGGUAAAGAGGGUUCAACCAAUGAAAAUCAGUGGCAAUCAGUCAAAACCCCAUCAAAUGAAUUCAGAAUCAGCCAAUUAGUUGUCAAAUCCUUUUGAAAGAGGAGUUUCUCAUAUAUAAAGUAGACAAAUCAAACAAAAGGGAUCGUCAAGUUAUUCAAGAAAUGAGUCUAAUAUUUAAAGGUUUAGAAUCAUAAGCAAAAAGGAAUACGAGUUUAAUUAUAGACUCAUGGUGAGCCUGAAUGUCCAGGGUUCCAAAGUGGAACCCUAAUCCAACUUUUCAAAGAAACCCCCAAAUUCUAGGGUUUCAAAUCGAAUCAAAAAUAGAGAUGAGAAGGCAAGUUAAGGGAAAUAGACUUAAGGAUCUAUUUCAGAGCCUCAUGAGAAACAAACAAAUGUGAUAGCAGGUUUGAAAGAAUCAAAGAAAGAAAAUUGAUUUAAGGCAUGAAGAACAUAUUUUAGAAAAAUCGGAACUUAAGCCAGUUCAGGAGAGAAUGAGCGAUACAAACUUAAGGAGCAGUAGAUGAAAUAUGCUUAGUAAGAACACAACAGAGUCCAGUAGAGAAAAAAUAAAAAAUCAAAGAAUUUACAGCAAACACAUAUAGUAGAAAAGGGAGGAAAACAUAGUAGAGAUAGCAUACGAGCAUAGUUUGAGUCACAAUAAGAUACAAGUGUACAGAAGAAUCAUGCUUAAUAGAAAGAAAGACAUAAGAGCAAACACAUACGAUCAUAACACAAGCAAACACGCAUAAAAAAGAACAGCAAGAAUCAGAAAGACUUUCAGAAACCUUAAAUGGAAACAAACGAUUUUUGAAAAGAAAAUUUGGGGAAAACACAUAAAAAGGUCUGUGGAACACCGAUAUAGCAUAGAUCUAAGAAAAAAACAGAGAGGAACCUCAAAGAACUUAGGAAUUCUGAGAAACCCUAGAAAUGAGAAAGGCUUGGAAGAACAAGGUCAGAUCCUGGGUCGAUGAGGUCAGGAAUUAGGCCUGCAGUACUUGAAUAUGUUGUAGCAUGGCCGGAGAGGCCGUAGAACUACAGAUCUGAGAAGAACUGAAAAGAAAACCGUCGAGGUCAAAUUCCAAAACCUUGAACAUCCAUGGUCUAAUGGUGGAGAGGGGUGAGUACAGACCAUCCAUGGCCUGAGAAGCCAUAGAUUCCGGUGGAAAAAAGGAUGGAAGUAGGUGGGAUGGGGUUAGGGUUUUGGAAAGGGCUAGAGAGGUUUUGGGAGAUGAAGGCGGCGUGUUUGGAGAGAAUGAUCAGGGUUAGAUGGGUAUGGGAAUUGAAACAGGAAAUAACG